Long non-coding RNA from Ziziphus jujuba (common jujube), 1708 nucleotides. RefSeq lists it as uncharacterized. NCBI's taxonomy places the organism in Eukaryota, Viridiplantae, Streptophyta, Magnoliopsida, Rosales, Rhamnaceae. The record is from RefSeq and is a predicted model, not a curated record. The transcript is spliced from 6 exons.
AAUUUUCAUUUGGACUUUUAAAAUAAUCCGCAACAUGGAAAUGGAUCAUUUAUCCAUUGUUAUUUUCAUUUGGCCCAAAACUAUCGCCCUACUUUGACAGGUCUUUAAUGUCCAAUUGCUGAUAAUUAAUAGUUUAAUCGUCCAAUUGUCUAAUUGUUUACCCAAAAAAAUUGCUGAUCUAUUACCAGUAUCCUUGUAGCUGAGUGAAUCGCCUCCAACUCCUGGUUACUGAGAUUUUGGCACUGAAGGAAGUUCUGCAGCUAAUGGGUAUCUAGCUACUUGGACUUGUAUCUGUGUUUGCUUCAAAGUGAUUGGCUUUGGGCUAUUCAAAUGCUCAAUAUUAGUAAUGCAUAGUGUUGUCUUCUCUUGGCAUUAGAUGGUAAUCUGAUUCAAGUUGUGAAGCUGAGAUUGAGAUGUUUUUAAGAGCUAUAAAGUAUUAAUUUUAGCUUAGCUUAGCUUAGCUUGAUCGUUGUCUAUUUGGCUGUAAUGAACCUUGAAGGCAAGUGUUUUUGGAUUUAUCAUGUUCUUUCUGUGAAGGCAGUGAACUGAGUAGUAUGUCAGCAAAUUCUGGUGGAACCCCGGUCGACAGACCUAUUAUAAGACCGGUAGCUGCUUAUUUGAAUGAAGAUGGGUCCUCUCGUAUCUCACUUAAGUGGUGGGAUGGGAAUGGAAUCCCAAAUUCAGCCAUUAAGUGCAAGGAGGAUCAGAAAUUGAGAUGGCAUGCGACACCAUUUGAGGAGAGGCUUGAAAAGGCAUUGUCUGAAGAGUCAUCAAUCAGAGUGAACUGAGUGGUAUAGCAGCAAAUUCUAAUAGAACCCCGGUGAACUGAGAAGAAGCUGCUUAUUGGAAUGAAGAUGAGGCCUCUUGUAUCUCACCUAGGUGUUGGGAUGGGAAUGGAAUCCUAAAUUCAACCAAUAAGUACGAGGAGCAUCAGAAAGUGCGAUGGCAUGUGACACCGUUUGAGGAAAGGCUUGAAAAGGCAUUGUUUUUGGGAAGUGUCGUCACUUCAGAGGUAUGCUUACCAUCAUUUGGUUUUACUCUCUUAUGCCCCUCACGUAGAAACCAUUUGGUUCAUGGCAUGCUAGAUGGAAAUGUUGAUACCAGAAGUUAAUGUACUCAUGGCUGGUAGGAUUUGUUAUAUGGCAACGUCGACACUGCAGAAAUUAAUAUUUUGGUAACAUGUCUUGGGAAACCAAUUUGUAUUUGACGAGAGUGAAGAAAGUGAUACUGUUUUUUCUCAGUUUCAGUCUUCAUCCCAUCCAAAGUCAGUGGUUACAUUUUGAUGAAUGCUGCUGGCGUCUUUCAAUUUUGCAGUAUAGGUUGUUAUACAUCUGCUGGUAUGUUGUCAGUUGGAGGAAACCACCAGGAUUUUGUGUGAUUGGCUUUCAUCAAAAACAUUGAGACAUGAAGCUGGUUCUGGAAUUUCUGUUUGUCAAUGCAAGCCAUGUCAGCAUCAUAUGGAGCCUUCUUUUUUUUUUUUUUUUUUUUGGGGGGGGUAAAAAUCAGCAUAUGGAACUGCUUCCAUUGUACAUACGUAGUGAAGUUACUGACAGAUGAUGCUGGUUCUGGAAUUUCUAUUUCUAAGCACAUCAGCAGCAUAUGAAACUUUUUUUUUUUUUUACCUUCCCCUUCUUGGGUAAAAAGCAGCAUGUGGAACUGCUUCCAUUGUACACAAGUAAUGAAAUCCCAUCUCAGGUUUUUCCUUGAA